Theobroma cacao (cacao) is the source of this 456-nucleotide non-coding RNA. The record is from RefSeq and is a predicted model, not a curated record. NCBI's taxonomy places the organism in Eukaryota, Viridiplantae, Streptophyta, Magnoliopsida, Malvales, Malvaceae.
CUUAACACAAAUAGAUCAAAGCAGAAAAAAAUAGUUCAAUAGAGUGAAAAGAAGAAAGAUGGCUUCAGACGAAUGCAAAGGAAAAAGUUCAUGGCCGGAGCUUGUGGGGAAGAAAGGGGAGGAUGCAGCAGCAAGAAUUGAGAAGGAGAAUCCUCAUGUCAAUGCUGUGAUUGUGUUGGAAGGAUCAUUUGUUACAGCGGAUUUCUUGUGCACUAGGGUUCGAGUUUGGGUUAACACCUAUGGGAUUGUUACCAGGGUUCCGACCAUUGGUUAGAUUGUGAAGGGCUGAUGCUUCACUAGCAAGUUACUUGCUUUAAUUUCUUUAGUAAAUGGAGACUACUUGUUGUAAUUUAAAAUAAGAAUAUUCUAAAUUAAGGUAUUUGAUAUCAUUGUUUAUAUGUAAGUCUGUAAUUGGUUUCGAAUUUAAAAUAAAAUGUUGAAUGGUCUCCAUUAAUU